RNAcentral lists this ribosomal RNA (492 nucleotides) under uncultured bacterium. Its description in RNAcentral is "partial 16S ribosomal RNA". It matches the Rfam family "Bacterial small subunit ribosomal RNA", at positions 28 to 507 of the family's 1533-position model. The record is from RNAcentral.
GAUGAACGCUAGCUACAGGCUUAACACAUGCAAGUCGAGGGGAAACGACAUCGUAAGCUUGCUUUUGAUGGGCGUCGACCGGCGCACGGGUGAGUAACGCGUAUCCAACCUGCCCAUCACUUGGGAAUAACCUUGCGAAAGUAAGACUAAUACCCAAUGAUAUCCCACGAAGGCAUCGGAAUGGGAUUAAAGAUUUAUCGGUGAUGGAUGGGGAUGCGUCUGAUUAGCUUGUUGGCGGGGUAACGGCCCACCAAGGCAACGAUCAGUAGGGGUUCUGAGAGGAAGGUCCCCCACAUUGGAACUGAGACACGGUCCAAACUCCUACGGGAGGCAGCAGUGAGGAAUAUUGGUCAAUGGGCGAGAGCCUGAACCAGCCAAGUAGCGUGCAGGAUGACGGCCCUAUGGGUUGUAAACUGCUUUUAUAAGGGAAUAAAGUGGGUCUCGUGAGACUUUUUGCAUGUACCUUAUGAAUAAGGACCGGCUAAUUCCGUG